AUGCAUAUCGCCGGCCGUAGGGUGCUCGUUCGCUGCGUCCUCUCCGCUAUGCCGACAUUCGCCCUCACAGUGCUGAGAGCACCAAAGAAGUUUUUCAAGUAGGUAGAUAAAGCCAGGGCUCACUUCCUCUGGGCACAAGACGAAGAAGCAACCAGAGGAAAGUGCAAGGUAGCAUGGAGCGUGGUCACCACGCCGAAAUCCCACGGAGGCCUCGGCAUCCAUGAUCUGGACAAAUUCGCGCGUGCCCUCCGCCUGCACUGGCUCUGGCUCUCCCGGACCCAUCCAGAGCGGGCAUGGGUCGGCACGGACACACCAUGCAACCUGUAG
Molecule: ribosomal RNA, 327 nt
Filed under: Triticum aestivum (bread wheat)
Lineage: Eukaryota; Viridiplantae; Streptophyta; Magnoliopsida; Poales; Poaceae
Description: partial small subunit ribosomal RNA
Source: RNAcentral